Molecule: ribosomal RNA, 451 nt
Filed under: uncultured bacterium
Lineage: Bacteria
Description: partial 16S ribosomal RNA
Rfam family: Bacterial small subunit ribosomal RNA
Source: RNAcentral
AACGAACGCUGGCGGCAGGCUUAACACAUGCAAGUCGAACGCGUGUAGCAAUACACGAGUGGCGCACGGGUGCGUAACGCGUGGGAACCUUCCUCGUAGUUCGGAAUAACCCAGGGAAACUUGGGCUAAUACCGGAUACCUCCUUCGGGAGAAAGAUUUAUCGCUAUGAGAUGGGCCCGCGUCAGAUUAGGUAGUUGGUAGGGUAACGGCCUACCAAGCCGACGAUCUGUAGCUGGUCUGAGAGGAUGAUCAGCCACACUGGGACUGAGACACGGCCCAGACUCCUACGGGAGGCAGCAGUGGGGAAUAUUGGACAAUGGGGGAAACCCUGAUCCAGCAAUGCCGCGUGAGUGAUGAAGGCCUUCGGGUUGUAAAGCUCUUUUACCUGUGAAGAUAAUGACUGUAGCAGGGGAAUAAGCUCCGGCUAACUUCGUGCCAGCCGCCGCAGUAA